AGACUUCAGUUAAUAAUGGCUGGAAGUCGAGCGGAUCAAAAUUCUUAUAGGUCACGUCGUAUGCUCCUCCUCGGAUCCUAAUGUCCAAGAGCCUCAAUUUUGUGGUCCAAUUUGUGGGCGAAAAAAAAAAAAUCGCAGCCAAGUGAUUGACCAAAGUCCUUCAUUCACUCUUGUUUCUAGACAUGAUAUGGGCCAAUGAAUUGGUGAGGUUAGAUGGAGGACACCUUCCUGCGUGAAGCAACCUAGGCUUGAUGGGUUCAUUUGGAGAGGUAUACUGGCACAGCUAGUAAAGAAUCAUGAAAGCCAAAUCUUAAUUUCAGAGUUUCUUAUAUCACAUCGGCUUCUUCCCUUCUCCGUUUAGGCCUAGGAUUGGAAUUCUUGAAUGGUUGUUCACUGUUGCCUCUGUUUCGAGCUUCAUGUGGUUGUCUAGCUAGAAAAUGUGCAUAAAAAUAGGAGGGUUUGAUAUAACGUAGAUUCAAUCACAAAAUAUUACGACCUCAAAGAUGAAAUGAGCAUGAUCAGGUCCCAAAAAACAGCGAAUCUGUAAGUAUAAAUACUAGCAGCAUCUCUAAAAGCAUCAAAGGAGAGCACUCUCCCACAAAUUUUGCCCUUCAUGGAGCACAGUAAUCAGCGGAGAAGCUCAUGCCGUGGUCCCCACAGUAAGAAGUGGGCGAAGUAUCGAGGGAGUCGAGACAACUGCAGUUGCAGUCUGUUGUUGGACUCGAUGUGGCUAGCCUGCUGAUCAUCGCUGUAUGACAUGGUGGCCAAGAUUGGAUGUAGCUUAUGUGCUCCAUGGAUAUCAUACCAUGUGGGUGUAUCAUACAAGUGAGUCUUUCCGGUUUAAAUAUAUCAUAAUUAAAACAUUGAUAGAUCCGGAAUGUUAUUUAAAAGUAUAUCUAAUGGCGAUGAAGAGGACACUGUUGGAGCAAUGUCUCCGCAGCUGCGACAAUUGUCUACUGGAACUUCGCACCUCGUCCUUUAUUUGAUUGCUAUUUUAUGUUUAGCCUUACAUUUACUCCUUAUAUGUAUCUGUCCUGUGCAUGGGCAUACUAGUUUCUGUACAUAGUUGUUCCUACUUUGUACACUUGUAUGAACAGGAUCAGAGAUUACGUAUCAAAGAGAAUCAAAGUCAAGGACUGCCUAUAAAACUUUCAAUCGAUAGGAUUAAACAAAAGAAGACAGUUAAACCGAGGGACAUACAUCAAUUACACUUCAUCAAAUUUUCAGCUCCUUUUUCCUUUCUUUUUUCUUAAUUUUCAUUUAGGAAAAGUAUGCAAGCUCAUUGAAUCGUUCCAUGGAUGCCAUUCUUUCACAGGCCACGGCCUGUACCAGAUGGCCGUAUAGCUGAAUAAGUGAAUACCAUCCCGCUUUCAGUUGUUCGGUCACCACAUACCUCAAAGAAACAUGACAUCUGGGCCAGCUAAUGAUCUUUAGUUUGGAGUUAACAACUCCUCUACAACCCUGGAAAUGGCAACAUCAAGUUCAAGCAAUUCCAGCCAUGACAAUUUAUUAAAAGGGAGACAACAAAUAAGAAGAGCUAUGGUUGAGAUGGAUCUUUUAUAGCAAAUUAUUUGUUCGUGGGGAGGAAAUAAUAACAAUGCUAACCAUGUUUUUAUAUAUAUAAAAAAAAAUCAAGAGCUAAAGUGCAAGAGCUAGGAAUAUGAAAAUGCUUCAUGUAUUGUUUUGUAACCAUUGUAGUCACAUAAUCAUGCUAUUAGCCUUAAUGAAUGAAAUUAGUUAUCCUAUCA
Non-coding RNA from Phoenix dactylifera (date palm), 1748 nucleotides. The record is from RefSeq and is a predicted model, not a curated record. NCBI's taxonomy places the organism in Eukaryota, Viridiplantae, Streptophyta, Magnoliopsida, Arecales, Arecaceae.